RNAcentral lists this long non-coding RNA (1654 nucleotides) under Felis catus (domestic cat). RNAcentral describes it as "lncRNA (ENSFCAG00000044510.2)". Lineage: Eukaryota; Metazoa; Chordata; Mammalia; Carnivora; Felidae. The record is from RNAcentral.
CAUCAACCCUAUUCCAGAUGGCUGGCCAAUCCCUGCACUCCCCGCUCCGAGCUCUGGGAGACAGCCUGAGCAGCAAAGCUGGUGCUUGCUCAAGGGAGCAAUCCCUGCCUGAGUCUUCAUCGGAGUGGCAUCCUUCUUGAUCCCGAAGAGUUUGUCUUCCUCUUACUUUGCAAGGAAACACAUGGUAUUGGAGGAUCUCACAUGGAGAUUGUGGCUGAGCUGGAAAAGGGAAGAACAUUCUCUAGAGACAGUUCCAUGCCAUACAGACCUUUGUCCCCUGUUUUGAAGAGGAUUCAGUGUUUCCAAUUCUGUGAGGUACUGCUGUGUGGGUGAGAUACAGGCAUGGGGCUGCUGUCCUUGCUGUCGGAGACUGUGCAUGUCCCUUGUGGGCUCCCAUUGUCCCUACAUUCUGCUCUGGGUCAAUGCAGGUGAGAUGUCUGGAACUAUGUAUUCCCCCUUCCUCUUGGUCUGGCAGAGGCAGGCAAAGAGAGGUGCGGGUGAGAUUUGGGAGGUGGAGGAGAAAGGGAACACAUGCGUCCUUGGUGGUAGGUGAUGAUAGCUUAUGAGGGUCAGCUGCUUGGUGCUGUGGGCUGCUGAGAUAAUUUCUGGUGGCCUCUUUGCUCCCCAACUGUGCAGCCAUCAUGGAUGCCUCUAACUCUCCCUGUGAAAACCAUUUCCACGACUAAGUGGGAUACCUUGAGGGGAUGCAGCCUGAUAAGAGCUGGAUUCUCAUUGUUUCUCUUUGAUCCGAGGCUUUGCACUAAAGCCCAUUUUGUGUCUGAGUUGAGAAGACAGCGAAUCAAGAAAUCCUGCUCCAGCCUGCUCCAUCUUAUUUCUAGGGAAGCAUUCCUGUACUCCCCAAGGAGGGCACUGCACCCAGAAUCUAAGACAUGGAGCUCUUUUUGCAGCUUGGCUUCCCCAACGUCCAAGCGGGAGAUGAAGGGGAUGGGAACUUUCAAAGGUUUCUAGAUCAUCUGCAAGUGACUUUGAUUUGGAAGAGCUGGGAGACCACUGCCCGAGGCCAUGCACCCCUGACUCAAGUCUCAACUCAACCCUUGGUGCCAGUUCCAAUUACAGGGGCACAGGGCUGCAAGGGGUAAUGGCUGCCAAGGGUAGUGGGGAGGCAAUAAGGAUGUGGGUUAUAUAAAUCUUGCCAGUGAGAGGCUUUGGACAGUAAUGUAGGCCUCUGUGAUUCUUCCUUUGGGCAGUUCUCUGCCUUUAUAGCCACAUCUCUCUUGGCAAGGGAGUGGGGGUGCCUUUUACUUUGGAACUAGACCACUUUUCUCUACUGCCUACUCCCUCUCUCUGUUUCUGCUUUAUCCUUAUUAGUAACCUCGUAAAACAACACAGCCCAAAGGACUUAAGUAUAGUUUGAGCUCAGACUUGUCCUUCCGGUCGUGGUUGAAUGCCAUCAUCUCUGAGCUACCUUCAUGGCCUACCUAAGCCAGGUUAGGCACUCCGGCAGUGAGCUGGGUCGGCAUUACAUACCAACCCUUCUGUAAAAUUUUGCAUGUCAACCUCGCAAUCACUUGUUGAGUUGUUUAUCUCCCCUACCAAACCACAGGCCCUGUGAGGUCAGUGAUCCACUUCUAGACACAUAACCAUGGGUGGGGCCCUAGAUCACAGUCCCUUAGGCCAGGUCAGGCUACUUGUA